Molecule: ribosomal RNA, 504 nt
Filed under: uncultured bacterium
Lineage: Bacteria
Description: bacterial SSU rRNA
Rfam family: Bacterial small subunit ribosomal RNA
Source: RNAcentral
AAUGAACGCUGGCGGCGCGCCUAAUACAUGCAAGUCGAGCGAGAAGACGUAGCAAUACGUUUGUAAAGCGGCGAACGGGUGAGGAAUACAUGGGUAACCUACCCUAGAGUGGGGAAUAACUAGCCGAAAGGUUAGCUAAUACCGCGUACGCUCCUUGGACUUCGGUUCAGGGAGGAAAGCGAUGCCGAGGGUAUCGCGCUCUUGGAUGGGCUCAUGUCCUAUCAGCUGUUGGUGAGGUAACGGCUCACCAAGGCUUCGACGGGUAGCUGGUCUGAGAGGACGAUCAGCCACACUGGCACUGCGACACGGGGCCAGACUCCUACGGGAGGCAGCAGUAAGGAAUAUUGCGCAAUGGGCGAAAGCCUGACGCAGCGACGCCGCGUGGGGGAGUGAAGGUCUUCGGAUUGUAAACCCCCUUUCGGGUAGGGAAGAUGGAAUGGGGUAACCCGAUUCGGACGGUACCGUCCAGAAGCAGCCACGGCUAACUUCGUGCCAGCAGCCGCU